This is a long non-coding RNA of Scophthalmus maximus (turbot), 1304 nucleotides long. RefSeq lists it as uncharacterized. The transcript has 2 exons. The record is from RefSeq and is a predicted model, not a curated record. NCBI's taxonomy places the organism in Eukaryota, Metazoa, Chordata, Actinopteri, Pleuronectiformes, Scophthalmidae.
CAACUCUUCUCCUCAGGCAGUGCGAGAGCGCCGGAGCCGUUCCUCUCCUCCUCCCCCAGCAGGCAGGGCUCAAGAGGAGCGCAUGGGAGCGCUCUCUCUCUCUCUCUCUCUCUCUCUCUCUCUCUCUCUCUCUCGCCCUCGUUUGUCUCUUCACAGGGUGAUGAGGGAGCAGCGCUGUGGGCGGUAGAGGAGGUGCGUGGCAGUCCAGGAAGCUCUCAUUCUGCCGCUGCGUGCUGCUUUGCUGUCGUCCAGCUUCACCCAAGUCUCCCUCACUCGGUGUGUGUGUGUGUGUCAGAGUUGCCUUCCCCUACCUCCUCUCUCCUCCCCUCUCAUUGAUUCCUCUUUCCGCCUGCCUUUCGUGUGCGCUCUCUAUGACUUUCUGAGCCUUUUCCUUCCAAUUUCUCCUUCUUUUUCUUUCCCCUUUGCCGUGUCCCUUUUUUGUGCCUCUCCUCGUCUUCUUCGCCAGCCGGGAUAAGACACAUGCAGCCUUCACUGCAGCGAGUCAAGCAAGUCAAGCACUUGGGAGGUCGAGCCCUGGUCACGCUGCUGACUUUUGGACAGCAAAUACCAAGGAGGGGCAACUGGGAUGUGUCCAACACACGCACCUCUUCCUGUGCGCCACACGAGGUCUUGGAGGAACGAGUCGGCCUUUCUGGGGUCUCCUGUCAGCAUGAGCACAGAGGCCAUGUGCACUGGCUGGCACAUGGUAUUGGGAAUUAUGCGCAGCUGGCUUGAAGCCAGGUACAGUAAACAGCACUACUGGGUCAGGGCCUGAGUAACUGACAGAUACCCCAUCAGCCUUUUACCGUGAAAAUCAAAUAAACGUGCUUCGUUCUCAGCCAACACCAUGUUCAUUUUUCAUGCAUUUACACACACGCACGAACGCACGCACGCACGCACGCACGCACGCACGCUCAUGAUCAACCUGCCACCCACAUUCCUGUUUUCACCACCAUGUCAAAAAAGUGGCACUGAUGUCCGGACACAACACACACACAAAAAAAGAUAAAAUACUGGAAAAUGCACUUAACAUUGUUCUUACCACAUAUGUUGUGUUUAGCAAAAAUCUCCACAGAACCUUGUUAUUGAGUAAAAUCAAAUAUUUUCAAUGGUCUUCUAUGAAGAGAGCCUGACCAAAUUGUUUAUUUUACUAUAAGUUACCAUAUUGUGGCCCAAACCGAACUACAGUAACUUACUGUGAGCUUAUUCACAGUAUGGUGUGAAACGUGGGUGAAAAGCUACAACACAAUAAGGUUUUACAUUGCACGUUGUACAGAUUAAUCUUAAUAAACCCGACUAACCAA